Phyllostomus discolor (pale spear-nosed bat) is the source of this 224-nucleotide long non-coding RNA. RefSeq lists it as uncharacterized. The transcript has 2 exons. Lineage: Eukaryota; Metazoa; Chordata; Mammalia; Chiroptera; Phyllostomidae. The record is from RefSeq and is a predicted model, not a curated record.
UCAAUGAUCACCUUAAAUAUAAAUGGCUUAAAUGCUCCAACCAAAAGACAUACAGUAGCUGAAUGAAUAAGAAAAGAAGACUUAUAUAUAUGCUGCCUCCAAGAAACCCAUCUGAGAUUGAAAGAUGCACACAGACUAAAAGGAAAGGGAUGGGAAAAGAUAUUUCAUGCAAAUGGAAAAAAAAAGGCUGGGGUAGCAGUACUUAUAUUGAAGAAAAUAGACUU